This 56-nucleotide transfer RNA is filed under the name Salmo salar (Atlantic salmon). It matches the Rfam family "tRNA", at positions 10 to 63 of the family's 71-position model. From Rfam's summary of the family: Transfer RNA (tRNA) molecules are approximately 80 nucleotides in length. RNAcentral also lists the same sequence under 1 other name. Lineage: Eukaryota; Metazoa; Chordata; Actinopteri; Salmoniformes; Salmonidae. The record is from Rfam by way of RNAcentral.
GUUGACUUGGUAGAGCAUGGCACUUGCAAUGCCAGAGUUGUGGGUUCGAUUCCCAC